RNAcentral lists this ribosomal RNA (503 nucleotides) under Fusarium oxysporum. RNAcentral describes it as "eukaryotic LSU rRNA". The stretch from base 136 to 289 matches the Rfam family "5.8S ribosomal RNA". The record is from RNAcentral. Lineage: Eukaryota; Fungi; Ascomycota; Sordariomycetes; Hypocreales; Nectriaceae.
ACUCCCAACCCCUGUGACAUACCACUUGUUGCCUCGGCGGAUCAGCCCGCUCCCGGUAAAACGGGACGGCCCGCCAGAGGACCCCUAAACUCUGUUUCUAUAUGUAACUUCUGAGUAAAACCAUAAAUAAAUCAAAACUUUCAACAACGGAUCUCUUGGUUCUGGCAUCGAUGAAGAACGCAGCAAAAUGCGAUAAGUAAUGUGAAUUGCAGAAUUCAGUGAAUCAUCGAAUCUUUGAACGCACAUUGCGCCCGCCAGUAUUCUGGCGGGCAUGCCUGUUCGAGCGUCAUUUCAACCCUCAAGCACAGCUUGGUGUUGGGACUCGCGUUAAUUCGCGUUCCCCAAAUUGAUUGGCGGUCACGUCGAGCUUCCAUAGCGUAGUAGUAAAACCCUCGUUACUGGUAAUCGUCGCGGCCACGCCGUUAAACCCCAACUUCUGAAUGUUGACCUCGGAUCAGGUAGGAAUACCCGCUGAACUUAAGCAUAUCAAUAAGCGGGGUAAA